UUUUCCUUCUAUUUCUAAAGUAUUAUUAUAAGAAGACCAAGACCUCCUCGUGUUACUCUAUAUACUCACACACCCCACUCAAUUUCAUGAUCAACAGCCAUGAAGUUCAUCCACAUUUGCCUCUCUCUCUUCAUUCUCCUCUCCAUCUUCACCAUCUGCAGAUCUGUAAGUAUUCUCGUUAGAUCAACUUCAUGUUCAUAUUUCUCGAGCAAUAUAUAAAUUCUUGACAUGUUUUAUACGCAUUAUGAAUAAGAAAAAA
RNAcentral lists this long non-coding RNA (259 nucleotides) under Olea europaea (common olive). RNAcentral's name for it is "long non-coding RNA (OEUR_LNC012440)". The record is from RNAcentral. Lineage: Eukaryota; Viridiplantae; Streptophyta; Magnoliopsida; Lamiales; Oleaceae.